This 246-nucleotide long non-coding RNA is filed under the name Elaeis guineensis (African oil palm). RNAcentral's name for it is "long non-coding RNA (EGUI_LNC020002)". The record is from RNAcentral. Lineage: Eukaryota; Viridiplantae; Streptophyta; Magnoliopsida; Arecales; Arecaceae.
ACCGAUCUAUAUCACAUUUAAAGAAAAAGAAAGCAAGGGGGAAAGAAAGAGAGGAUAAGAUGUUACACCAAAGCGGCUGGAAAUGAAUCGUAUUCGUCAUAUAUGGUAUCGCUGCGCAUGUGCUGUGUCUGAACAUGUAGCUUGUCGGGAGCCGUAGAUUAGAAGAAUUAUUGGUUGAAAAUCCACCGCAUCACUUUUGGAUCAGUUCAAUCAGUGACACAUUUAUAAACCAAAGAAAAAAAAGAA